GAUGAACGCUGGCGGCGUGCCUAAUACAUGCAAGUCGAGCGAACGGACGAGAAGCUUGCUUCUCUGAUGUUAGCGGCGGACGGGUGAGUAACACGUGGAUAACCUACCUAUAAGACUGGGAUAACUUCGGGAAGCCGGAGCUAAUACCGGAUAAUAUUUUGAACCGCAUGGUUCAAAAGUGAAAGACGGUCUUGCUGUCACUUAUAGCUGGAUCCGCGCUGCAUUAGCUAGUUGGUAAGGUAACGGCUUACCAAGGCAACGAUGCAUAGCCGACCUGAGAGGGUGAUCGGCCACACUGGAACUGAGACACGGUCCAGACUCCUACGGGAGGCAGCAGUAGGGAAUCUUCCGCAAUGGGCGAAAGCCUGACGGAGCAACGCCGCGUGAGUGAUGAAGGUCUUCGGAUCGUAAAACUCUGUUAUUAGGGAAGAACAUAUGUGUAAGUAACUGUGCACAUCUUGACGGUACCUAAUCAGAAAGCCACGGCUAACUACGUG
Molecule: ribosomal RNA, 497 nt
Filed under: uncultured bacterium
Lineage: Bacteria
Description: partial 16S ribosomal RNA
Rfam family: Bacterial small subunit ribosomal RNA
Source: RNAcentral